CCGGGGUGCGGGUCUUCUUCAACCCGCACCUUGGUGACAACCAAAGCGUGACCCAUAAGGUCGUCGCUUUUAAUUUUGAAGUAAUGAGACCAGCAGGGGCAUCCGGGCUGGUACCCGGACUACUUGCGUGAUACUCGGUGGCUUGUUGUAGUCGCUGCACUCGGACUUAUUCAAGCUUGCUGUGGCGUCAACGCCGGUGGAGUCCCCAAACGAGGGUGACCA
Pseudomonas sp. M47T1 is the source of this 222-nucleotide regulatory RNA element. It matches the Rfam family "sucA-II RNA". NCBI's taxonomy places the organism in Bacteria, Pseudomonadati, Pseudomonadota, Gammaproteobacteria, Pseudomonadales, Pseudomonadaceae. The record is from Rfam.